CUGUGAGGGAAAGAGACAGAGAUUGGUUUUGGUUUGUAGAAAGCAAAGUUAGUACUGAUUGUGCAGCUGUUAGACAGAGAUAGAGAGAGAAAGAACAAAAUUUGGUUUGCAGAGAGCAAGGCAACAAGGGGCCACUGAUGAGAAUGGAUUGUGAAGCCUGUAGCCCAGAAAGGAUAUGGUUAAGAUCUGUUAAGUAAAGGAAAGCUGGACGCCAGGAUGGAACCUCCGCUAAAGCAUCGUGAAGUCUGCUGGGUAUAAAGAGGAAUCAAACUGGACUGUGUUAUGUGUAGUGAUUCUGUUUUUCUGAGACUGUAAAAUGCAAUUGCUAUAAGUGAUUGUGGUAUAAACUAUGCUAGACUAUGAAAUGUAAGGCAAAGCUUCUUGAUAGGCUAUGAAAACCUGCAGAGUUGCUACAAAAAGUGAUGCAUCUUGCAGAACAUCACCUCCAAGGCCUCACAGGGCAUGUCCAGAUGAACGCGCACGUGCCUCUUGCCCUGUCUCAAACCCCUUUGAGAUGGGGCAAGAGGCACAUGCGGGAAUGAAAAAAUGUUCCCCACACUUCAAAAUUGCAAUGCAGGGAGAAAAUUAGACCCCUGGAUAUCCAGGGGUAAAAAAAAAAAUGGAGUUUAAAAAAGGAGGACAGGCAACUGGAGGCUGGAUCCUCCACAGAGAUGCUCUGGCUGCCAGAGCAUCUCUGUGGUUGGUCCCUCACUCUGGUGCUGAAACACUGUGGCCUGCCAGGCAGCUGCUGCAGCACCAGGGCUCCAGUGCCAUAAGUAAGGGGUUGUGGGGGGCUGGAGGAGAGGGGAGGGGACUACAGGACUACUGGCUGCAGAUCCAGGAGGAGCCAGGCAGGGUUACUUAGCUCCAAGUGGCACAGUUUGCUCCAUAACAAAGAGCAUGUCCAAGCACACGCACUGAGGCAAAAAGCCCCGGUUCAAAUUUGCAUUGCUUCUUUUUGAGCUGCUACAAACACACAUGCUUGUGUGUGUGGAUGCGCCCACAGAGUUCAGCCAUGCCAAAGAUCAAGAAGGCUGGAUAGAUUGUUUGUUUUAUUGCUAUCUUUUUUUUUUUCUUUGUCCUUCUGGUUUUUUUGUGCUAAAUAUGCAUUUUAGCCUAUAUAGUAGAAGUAGUAAUGUAACAUAGUUUGUUCAAUUCCCUGAAUUUGUACAAAGAGAACACAAAGUAAAAUUAUGGGAUCCUAAGGAAAACAAGUCUGGUCCUUCCUGUGGAUACAGCACACCUGGUUUUCAUGGCGGGUUGAGAAAGACUUAACCCCUGGCAUUUCUCCAGUCUUUUACAGGACAGUGAGGCACUGAUAGUGCUAAAGUGGCAUCAAGCGUCCAGUUGAGGCAACAAGAAAGCAUUGCCCAGUACACAGGAGGGGUAAAUUUGCCAAGGACAUGUCUGGUCUCCAGAGAUUCUGACCAUGAAAUGUUUUUUUUUUUCUGAUAUGAAUAUCCAUCUUGACAAUCAGAUAAGAUACUGACUGUGGAGCAACAUGCUACCUGAAAUGUUCAGUAAAAGGUUUGGUAGGCAACUCGGUUACAUUUCCUGGCCCCAGUAUGGGAGGCCUGCUGAAACCCAGUUGGCUAAAGCUCAGUUGCCUGGCUAGGGAAUGCUGAGUCAAGAGACAGGUUCAGAGUGGGUAUGGGUGAUAUUUGAAUAAUGGUUAAGGUUUCAUCACAGCAUCCAUCCUGCUGGAGUCUGUGACCACAAAUACCAUCAUACUUUUCCCAGGAUGACUGGUGGAAGUCCUCCCCACAAAUGUCAUGAACAUUUCAGGCAAUGUCAGUGAUUAUGCUCCAGUAUAGUGUAAAGAUAUAUCUUCAAGGAUGGGAAUAUGUUGGCUUACAAAUGGCAUUUAACAACCUGUUUUUUGGGAAUUGGCUUAUAGCCUUAUAAGGGGUCAAGAUGGGCAGCAGGUGUUAAAACGAUUUAUAAAGAGCUUGGGAGACAACACACAGCUUCUCAUGGCCCUGAAAGCAGACAGGUUAUCUAUCACAACAAGGCCAAUGGAUGGACACAGCCUGAGAAUGAAGGAGGGCAUGCCAUAACAUGAGAUCACAGCCUCCAAGGCAGACGUGUUGUCUAACACAGCAAGGACACGCAGCCUAGGAACCAAAGAAGUGUGUACCAUAUUGUCCCAUAACACAUGAUAAGUGAAACCAGCAACAGGGCCCCAGAGCAGCAGUGGGGCUGAGUCCUGGUUUUGAGGGAACACACCAAAUUAGGAGAAGGCCCGGAAGGCUAUGUGGAUGUGUGACCACAGAGAGAGAGCCAACCUACCAGAGAUAGCCAUUGAUGAAGAGUCAUCAGGAGUCAUCAUGGGGGUAGGAUAAUACAAAAGCAGAGACUUGAGAUUAACAAAGAGUCCCUCCUGUUUCUCCCUGUACUUUUUCAUCCCUCACUGUCUCUCUUUGCUGUCCCUCCUCCUUCUUCUCCUGAGAGGGGUCCCCAACCCCAUCCCUGUCCCCUGGGAAGGGUCCCUGAGGCCAACAUGGAUUGAGGGCAUACCAGCAGCCUGUCUCAUUCACCCCACUGGAGGGGGGCUGUGGGCCUCGGUAUCCCACCUCCAGACUGAUGACACCUUAGAGAGCCUAAGAGUGGAGCCUGCAUCCUGGCCAGAUGUACUUUGACUCUGAUGACAACCCUAGGAUUGGUAGAUAUAGCAUUGCUUGAUUAUUCGUAUUGUUGCUUUUUUGUUCUUUCUCUGUAUCAAUAAAUUUACCUAUUCUUAA
Molecule: long non-coding RNA, 2741 nt
Organism: Alligator mississippiensis (American alligator)
Lineage: Eukaryota; Metazoa; Chordata; Crocodylia; Alligatoridae
Exons: 2
Source: RefSeq, a predicted model, not a curated record